This 484-nucleotide ribosomal RNA is filed under the name uncultured bacterium. RNAcentral describes it as "partial 16S ribosomal RNA". It matches the Rfam family "Bacterial small subunit ribosomal RNA", at positions 29 to 507 of the family's 1533-position model. The record is from RNAcentral.
AUUGAACGCUGGCGGCAUGCUUUACACAUGCAAGUCGAACGGCAGCGCGGGCUUCGGCCUGGCGGCGAGUGGCGAACGGGUGAGUAAUGCAUCGGAACGUGCCCAGUAGUGGGGGAUAGCCCGGCGAAAGCCGGAUUAAUACCGCAUACGACCUGAGGGUGAAAGCGGGGGACCGAAAGGCCUCGCGCUAUUGGAGCGGCCGAUGUCGGAUUAGCUAAUUGGUGGGGUAAAGGCUUACCAAGGCGACGAUCCGUAGCUGGUCUGAGAGGACGACCAGCCACACUGGGACUGAGACACGGCCCAGACUCCUACGGGAGGCAGCAGUGGGGAAUUUUGGACAAUGGGGGCAACCCUGAUCCAGCCAUGCCGCGUGCGGGAAGAAGGCCUUCGGGUUGUAAACCGCUUUUGUUCGGGAAGAAAUCCUCUGGGCUAAUACCCCGGGGGGAUGACGGUACCGGAAGAAUAAGCACCGGCUAACUACGUG